RNAcentral lists this ribosomal RNA (1373 nucleotides) under uncultured bacterium. Its description in RNAcentral is "bacterial SSU rRNA". It matches the Rfam family "Bacterial small subunit ribosomal RNA", at positions 28 to 1381 of the family's 1533-position model. The record is from RNAcentral.
GAUGAACGCUGGCGGCGUGCCUAAUACAUGCAAGUCGAGCGAACGGACGAGAAGCUUGCUUCUCUGAUGUUAGCGGCGGACGGGUGAGUAACACGUGGAUAACCUACCUAUAAGACUGGGAUAACUUCGGGAAACCGGAGCUAAUACCGGAUAAUACUUUGAACCGCAUGGUUCAAAAGUGAAAGACGGUCUUGCUGUCACUUAUAGAUGGAUCCGCGCUGCAUUAGCUAGUUGGUAAGGUAACGGCUUACCAAGGCAACGAUGCAUAGCCGACCUGAGAGGGUGAUCGGCCACACUGGAACUGAGACACGGUCCAGACUCCUACGGGAGGCAGCAGUAGGGAAUCUUCCGCAAUGGGCGAAAGCCUGACGGAGCAACGCCGCGUGAGUGAUGAAGGUCUUCGGAUCGUAAAACUCUGUUAUUAGGGAAGAACAUAUGUGUAAGUAACUGUGCACAUCUUGACGGUACCUAAUCAGAAAGCCACGGCUAACUACGUGCCAGCAGCCGCGGUAAUACGUAGGUGGCAAGCGUUAUCCGGAAUUAUUGGGCGUAAAGCGCGCGUAGGCGGUUUUUUAAGUCUGAUGUGAAAGCCCCACGGCUCACCCGUGGAGGGUCAUUGGAAACUGGAAAACUUGAGUGCAGAAGAGGAAAGUGGAAUUCCAUGUGUAGCGGUGAAAUGCGCAGAGAUAUGGAGGAACACCAGUGGCGAAGGCGACUUUCUGGUCUGUAACUGACGCUGAUGUGCGAAAGCGUGGGGAUCAAACAGGAUUAGAUACCCUGGUAGUCCACGCCGUAAACGAUGAGUGCUAAGUGUUAGGGGGUUUCCGCCCCUUAGUGCUGCAGCUAACGCAUUAAGCACUCCGCCUGGGGAGUACGACCGCAAGGUUGAAACUCAAAGGAAUUGACGGGGACCCGCACAAGCGGUGGAGCAUGUGGUUUAAUUCGAAGCAACGCGAAGAACCUUACCAAAUCUUGACAUCCUUUGACAACUCUAGAGAUAGAGCCUUCCCCUUCGGGGGACAAAGUGACAGGUGGUGCAUGGUUGUCGUCAGCUCGUGUCGUGAGAUGUUGGGUUAAGUCCCGCAACGAGCGCAACCCUUAAGCUUAGUUGCCAUCAUUAAGUUGGGCACUCUAAGUUGACUGCCGGUGACAAACCGGAGGAAGGUGGGGAUGACGUCAAAUCAUCAUGCCCCUUAUGAUUUGGGCUACACACGUGCUACAAUGGACAAUACAAAGGGCAGCGAAACCGCGAGGUCAAGCAAAUCCCAUAAAGUUGUUCUCAGUUCGGAUUGUAGUCUGCAACUCGACUACAUGAAGCUGGAAUCGCUAGUAAUCGUAGAUCAGCAUGCUACGGUGAAUACGUUCCCGGGUCU